AUUGAACGCUGGCGGCAGGCCUAACACAUGCAAGUCGCACGAGUGGCGGACGGGUGAGUAAUGUCUUGGAAACUGCCCGAUGGAGGGGGAUAACUACUGGAAACGGUAGCUAAUACCGCCUACCAUCGUAUGUGCCCAGAUGGGCUUAGAUAGUAGGUGGGGUAACGGCUCACCUAGGCUACGAUCCCUAGCUGGUCUGAGAGGAUGACCAGCAAAACUGGAACUGUGACACGGUCCAGACUCCGACGGGAGGCAGCAGUGGGGAAUAUUGCACAAUGGGCGCAAGCUUGAUGCAGCCAUGCCGCGUGUAUGAAGAAGGCCUUCGUGUUGUAAAGUACUUGCAGCGGGGAGGCGUUACCCGCAGAAGAAGCACCGGCUAACUCCGUGCCAGCAGCCGCGGUAAUUC
RNAcentral lists this ribosomal RNA (406 nucleotides) under uncultured bacterium. Its description in RNAcentral is "partial 16S ribosomal RNA". It matches the Rfam family "Bacterial small subunit ribosomal RNA", at positions 30 to 526 of the family's 1533-position model. The record is from RNAcentral.